Molecule: non-coding RNA, 97 nt
Organism: Paramuricea clavata
Lineage: Eukaryota; Metazoa; Cnidaria; Anthozoa; Malacalcyonacea; Plexauridae
Source: the annotation of a GenBank genome assembly
CAAUGUUGAUCGUGUUUAUGACGUCGAAUAUCGACGUCAUAAACACCAAAGUUGAUCGUGUUUAUGACGUCGAAUAUCGACGUCAUAAACACCAAAG